UACGUAGGUGGCAAGCGUUGUCCGGAAUUAUUGGGCGUAAAGCGCGCGCAGGCGGUCCUUUAAGUCUGAUGUGAAAGCCCACGGCUCAACCGUGGAGGGUCAUUGGAAACUGGGGGACUUGAGUGCAGGAGAGAAGAGUGGAAUUCCACGUGUAGCGGUGAAAUGCGUAGAGAUGUGGAGGAACACCAGUGGCGAAGGCGACUCUUCGGCCUGUAACUGACGCUGAGGCGCGAAAGCGUGGGGAGCAAACAGG
This 253-nucleotide ribosomal RNA is filed under the name uncultured bacterium. Its description in RNAcentral is "partial 16S ribosomal RNA". It matches the Rfam family "Bacterial small subunit ribosomal RNA", at positions 524 to 776 of the family's 1533-position model. The record is from RNAcentral.